Long non-coding RNA from Papaver somniferum (opium poppy), 535 nucleotides. RefSeq lists it as uncharacterized. The transcript is spliced from 3 exons. Lineage: Eukaryota; Viridiplantae; Streptophyta; Magnoliopsida; Ranunculales; Papaveraceae. The record is from RefSeq and is a predicted model, not a curated record.
GUAGCGUUGAGAUAAAAAAAAAACGUGAAAAGAGAAAGGGGAGAAAAAAAAAAGACUGAAAUUUGAGUUGAGUUUCUGUGUUCAAUUUGGAAGGAAAGAAAAUUAAGAUUAUGAACUCUUCAAUUAGUAGAAUUCCUGUAGAAGAUUGAAAGAUAGUUAAAAGAAGCUUCUUUGUGUUCUUGGCUGACGAUUAAGGGUUUUAUUGUAUGACUAGGUGUCUCUGAACUCAGUUGGCGGAUUGCGAAGAUUGAGGUUUGAGUAGCGGUUUGAGGUAGCUUUGAUGUAAGUGGUGUUGAUUCGGCCGAGGAAGAAAUUGACGUUUGGGUCGAUUAAGUGGUCUUAACUUAUGUCCGUGUGAGAUCGUUGAUGGUCUCAAUAGUACUGUGCAGUUUAUGUAUCUUUCUGAAGGUGUUUUCUUUUGAGUUUCUUGAUUGUAAGUAAAACACUAACUUCUAGAUGUAUAUUGUAUAUCACCAAAUAAGACACUUGUAAAUUAGACAGUUAUGUAUAAUAUGAAAAGCCUAGUUUAUGUCCA